GCUUUCCUGUGGCUCAACUGGUAAAUCAUUGCUUUAACAACGCAAAGAUUGUGGGUUCAUAUCCCGGAGAAAGCA
This is a non-coding RNA of Danionella cerebrum, 75 nucleotides long. Lineage: Eukaryota; Metazoa; Chordata; Actinopteri; Cypriniformes; Danionidae. The record is from the annotation of a GenBank genome assembly.